Molecule: ribosomal RNA, 468 nt
Filed under: uncultured bacterium
Lineage: Bacteria
Description: partial 16S ribosomal RNA
Rfam family: Bacterial small subunit ribosomal RNA
Source: RNAcentral
GACGAACGCUGGCGGCGUGCUUAACACAUGCAAGUCGAACGGAAAGGCCCUGCUUUUGUGGGUUGCUCGAGUGGCGAACGGGUGAGUAACACGUGAGUAACCUGCCCUUGACUUUGGGAUAACUUCAGGAAACUGGGGCUAAUACCGGAUAGGAUCUCCUGCUGCAUGGUGGGGGUUGGAAAGUUUCGGCGGUUGGGGAUGGACUCGCGGCUUAUCAGCUUGUUGGUGGGGUAGUGGCUUACCAAGGCUUUGACGGGUAGCCGGCCUGAGAGGGUGACCGGCCACAUUGGGACUGAGAGACGGCCCAGACUCCUACGGGAGGCAGCAGUGGGGAAUAUUGCACAAUGGGCGGAAGCCUGAUGCAGCAACGCCGCGUGCGGGAUGACGGCCUUCGGGUUGUAAACCGAUUUCGCAGGUGACGAAGAGUGAGUGACGGUAAUGGGUAAAGAAGCACCGGCUAACUACGUG